UAACUUUCCGUCCUUUGCCAUCUUUGAUCUGUAAAGAAACAGAUCGGACAUUUUAAAAUCUUUUGACCCAAGUCAGCAAGUUUGCCAAUUAAAUCACUCAUUAACUUGAAUUUUUGAAUUUAUAUUCCAAGCAAAUCCUUUAGACUUAUUUAAAAACAUUAGGAUCCUUUCUUUUUAUGCUAAUUUCUGUAGCCAGCUUGAAUGUCUCCUCAAGAAAUAAAACAAAAUUUUAACUGGCAUACAGACAAGGUAUUUUAAGGAAUCCAAUCGCUUGAACUCGGGCAGUGGAAGUUGGCAGUGAGACGAGAUAGCGCCACUGCACUCCAGCCUGGGUGACAGAACAAGCCUCUGUCUCAAAAACAAAAACAAAAACAAAAAACAAAAAACAAAAACCUCCCUAUCCUCUCAUUCUCUUAACUCCCCAAAGAUGCA
RNAcentral lists this long non-coding RNA (432 nucleotides) under Pan troglodytes (chimpanzee). RNAcentral describes it as "long non-coding RNA NONPTRT016257". The record is from RNAcentral. Lineage: Eukaryota; Metazoa; Chordata; Mammalia; Primates; Hominidae.